RNAcentral lists this ribosomal RNA (440 nucleotides) under uncultured bacterium. RNAcentral describes it as "partial 16S ribosomal RNA". It matches the Rfam family "Bacterial small subunit ribosomal RNA", at positions 338 to 795 of the family's 1533-position model. The record is from RNAcentral.
CCUACGGGAGGCAGCAGUGAGGGAUAUUGGUCAAUGGGGGAAACCCUGAACCAGCAACGCCGCGUGAGGGAAGACGGUUUUCGGAUUGUAAACCUCUGUCCUCUGUGAAGAUAAUGACGGUAGCAGAGGAGGAAGCUCCGGCUAACUACGUGCCAGCAGCCGCGGUAAUACGGAGGAUCCGAGCGUUAUCCGGAUUUACUGGGUGUAAAGGGAGCGUAGACGGCAGUGCAAGUCCGGAGUGAAAGCCCGGGGCUCAACCCUGGGACUGCUCUGGAAACUGUAAAGCUGGAGUGCGGGAGGGGCAGGCGGAAUUCCUGGUGUAGCGGUGAAAUGCGUAGAUAUCAGGAGGAACACCGGCGGCGAAGGCGGCCUGCUGGACCGUAACUGACGUUGAGGCUCGAAAGCGUGGGGAGCAAACAGGAUUAGAUACCCCAGUAGUC